GCAACUCCAUCAAAGAAGCCGUCGCGAAUGAGUUGCCCUGCCUCUGCACUCUCUACAAUACUCCUGGCUUGUUGUCUUCUUUCAACGUCUCCCUCGAAGAUGCUCUCAGGCUCACCCGGAAUUGCAACGUUCCCUCUGAUCUCAGCUCCUGCAAAAGUAAGCAAACAUUAAAAAAAAAAAAUUAAUAAUAAUAAUAAAAUUACGGUUCCAAAUUUUGAUUUUGAUUUUGAAAAAAAUCUCAAAAGUCAUCUAAACCGCUAGAUUUGUUUAGAUUUCGUAAUUGACGGCCAAAGCAGCAUUUGGUAGCUUAAUAAUCUGCUACAAUCUCUUUUGUCGUUGGCAAUUUAGUUUGGUUUUUUAAUUUUCUUUCGAUCUAUCGAGGAAUCAUAUUUCUCUCUUUUCG
Molecule: long non-coding RNA, 403 nt
Filed under: Citrus maxima (pomelo)
Lineage: Eukaryota; Viridiplantae; Streptophyta; Magnoliopsida; Sapindales; Rutaceae
Description: long non-coding RNA (CMAX_LNC002127)
Source: RNAcentral